CCCCCCCCCCCCUUCACUGGAGAAUUGCACUAAAACAGCUGAUCACAACGUUCACGCUCUGUGGUCACGAAGUACUCCACUAGCCCCCCCCCAAAAUUCACAACGGGUCGGGUCGUGGGUCUUAUAUCAACAGGUCGGGUCCAGAUUUGACUUGAAGAUAAUUGCAUGUAACGGUCGGUUCGCGGUAGCUACUAAGCUGCGAGGGUUCGGGUGGGUGCAGAUUUGUAAAACUGGACCCAUGCAGGACUCUGCCCCAGAGGCUUUUAAGUUGAAGCUUAACCCUUGUGAAUCCAUUUUUAAAAACGUUACUCUGAAAACACUAACGACAAAAAUGUCCGCAUCUAAAAAUACUGUAAUAAAGAUAUUAUAGGCUAUGUUAAUAUUUUUGUUCCACUUUCAAUUACUUACAUAUUUUAACCAAAUUCAGUGCUGAUCAUAAUUAUCAAAUGUUCAUUCAUUUUUAUUUUUGUCACUAGGGAUUUGAAAGUCACUAUUUUGAUUACACAUACACUUAUUAAGAACAUGUUUCCAAAAAAACUCAAAUCUUUACCAAAUGUCGUGCCAUAUUCUUAACACAAUCAGAAUGCUCACAAAAUUAAACAGUGGCAUGGAUAAUACAUUUCCUUAGGGAGGCAUAAGGGUUAAUGUGCUUAUUUAAUUAAAUACUGCAUCACAGUAGGAUGUUAACAGAAUUUACUGUAAUUGACCCAAGGAUGGCAGAUUGCUUAAAGUUGCAUUGUAGUCUUACGAUAAGAGAUACAGUAAUUAAAUGAGAUGUUUUACUUUUGUAAUGUUUGUAUUUAGGAAAAUAUGUCAGUGAAAGAGGGAGAGAUGGACAGCACAGUAUCAAUAAACAGUCUUACAGCGCACCUACGGGUGAGGAAGACGAGGACACAAGUCAGGAUGACAGGGAAAUAAGUAACGCACAGCCACAGUCUGAGAUAGACACAGAAGAGUCAGACCAACAAAGUACAGAGACAGCCACCGAAAUGACAACAACAAUGAACAGAAAGUGCAAAGCAGGGCCAAAAAAGUUCAAAAUUGCCAUGACAAGAAAACAAUGGAACAAAAUUAAACCUAAACAUGGCAAAAAAAAACUCCGCCCCCCCUGGACUGAUACAUUAUAUCAAGAAUUUUUGAAAAAUAAUCCAUGCUGCACACUUGCUUUCAAAUACCAGCAUGUUAAGACAAAUGAUAGCCGUAAAAAGAAUUCGCCAUUUUUCUGUGCCUCUGCAAAAUGCACAUUUAAUGGAUGCAACGCUGUCUACAGUUUCUCAAAAAAGAACAGGCCAAAAUCAACGGAUAAAAAAAAUAUUUUUAAAGUCAUGCGCAUUGGUGAAGUUAUACACCAUAAAAAUCAAAGGCGAUUUAGACCAGCAAAAUACACAAGAAGAGGAACAAUUUCCAAAGCCUUAACCAGUGGUGUCAGUAAUUAUUAUUACACUAUGUUAAGACAGACACCAGAGGAAAUAAUGGCUGGUAACAUAAGCAGAAGCCUCACCAAAGACGUGUUAAAGAAAAUAUCCUCUGAAGUGAAGAAAAGUGCAAGGCUCCACGAUGACAUGAUGCUUGAACUCAUGUUGACUCAAAAAAUAAUCAAAGAGAGCAGCAGUCAUGCAUCAUCAAAAGGCUAUCUUCAGCACCUACAAAUUGAUCCGUUUGCUGUACAUUUAUACACAGAUGCUGGAAUAAAGAUAUUGACUGAGCACUUGAAAAAGCCAACACCUACGACUCUCUACCUUGAUGCCACAGGCAGCGUGAUACAGAACAUUCCUGAUCAAAAUAAGCGGGUCUUGUAUUAUGCUUUGGUUUUGCCCGGAAUGGGUAAGGAUAAGCCUCCCUUGCCUGUCACAGAACUGAUCACCAACAGCCAUUCCAUUCCAUCUAUUUCCCAUUGGCUCAUGGAAUUUAAAAGAAAGUUGUCUUACAUAACAAAAAGAAAGAUAGCACAGGUUGAGACAGAUUAUAGUUGGGCUCUGAUAAACAGUGUGCUUCUGUCUUUUAACAGGGAAAAUAUGUCAGUGUACCUUGACAGAGCAUUUGAGAUAGUGUCUGGACAAACUGAACUGAUUCCUAACUUCACUGUGCUGCAUCUGUGCUCUGCUCAUAUCAUGAAGGCUGUGUCACAAGCAUUUGGGAAACAAACUGUAGACAGAGGCACACAGGAAUAUGCAACAUUCUGUUUUGCGUACAUCCUGAACUGCACAAGUAUGCAGGAAGCCCUUGAUGUUUUUUAUCAUAUGUGUGUGCUUUUUGAUGCAGAGGAGUACACUCAUUCGGUGAAACAGAGCUAAAUGUACCUCGACAAGUGUAUUUUGCAAACUCGGGACUUGAAACUGGAGGAAAGUGGACAUGUAAUGGGAGAGGAGGAAAGCAAAAUGGAAACAAAUGCUCAUAGCAUUAUUGGAAAGUCCCCUUUUACACAAGCUUUUCAAGUCAGGCGGGACCAAGCAGAGUGUGACAUUCUCUCUGACGAUGCUGUUCAGGUAAAAAACCACUACCUCUGUCCUGGUGUCAUUGAUGCACUGUUACAAAACUACAUGGGGAUCUUCCCAUUGUGGAGUGGUUUGUUGCUUUGGGGUCUGUCACGACAUAGAAAAGGUAGAGUCAUAAAACCAGGGAUACCAACUGCCAUGUUGAGCUCUGGUUUGGGUUGGUCAAACACUCCAUCCUUUUAAAAAAAAAAGUACCUGAGACCAGCUGAGUUUGUCUCCAAAAUGUAUGCCUCAAUACAAGGAAGAUAUAUAGAGCACAUUGAGCAACACAAUCUGCCAAUGCAUAUUCUGGACAAAAACUUUGGACAUCCUAGCAGGCCAGAUGAUGACCACGAGGAACAGUGGAACAAGCGGGAAAGUUCUGCUGGUCACACCAAGUCCAAGUCCAAGUACUUCAAUCCACCAAAAACACUACCCAACCCCAAGAGCCCACCUGCCACAAAGGUGAAGAAAAGAAAAGUGGACCAACAGGAAAAAGACGCACAGGGAAAUUUGACCUGGCUGUGGAAAAAAAAAGGACACAGAGGUGGUCGUGGCAGUGCUCCCCUCACAGAUGAAAGGACACAUCUUGCUUAUCCGCCACUGUGAGCUAUGCUCACUUCGACCCCACCAGUGGUUGACAGGGGAGGUAAUUGAAGGCGUGUUUCAUGUUGCUGCCGACAAAUUCGCCGUUCUGAACAAAAUGUUAAAUGCUAAAUCACUACACAGCAGGUGUCAUUUUGUUCGGGGACAGAACUCAGCUAACAUCUCACAGUUUACCGAAGGUCAACUUUGACAACUAUGAAGCUGUCCUGUCCUUUGUACUUGUCAACAACAACCACUGGAAGUUGCUGUACAUUCAUGCCAACACCAGCACCGUAUUCCUGGUGGAUCCAGCUCAAAGCAUCAAAGAGCUUGAUGACUCCGAACAUGCUGCCAAAAGAAUACAAGAGCACUUCAGGAUGAGGAGGACACGCCACAGCAUAACAGACUGUGGAUGUUAAGUGGAAGGGAGGCGUUAUGGGCCACCCACUUCAAACGGAUGGAUGUAGCUGUGGUGUCGUUGUUGUGAAGAUGGCAAAGGCAGUCAUGGAGUCCUUCCCUCUGAUCCCGAAUGUGAAUUUCGAGUGUUCGAAGAAAUACAUGAAACGGGAGAGGAGAGAACUGGCUCUCGAAAUCCUUGAGGCAUCAGUCUUUGAUGAGCACACUUAUUGUGCUAUGUGUGCUGCCUUAAGGCCUCCAGGAUCUCCCAUCACAGACUGGGUUCAGUGUGAUGACUGUGAACGAUGGUACCAUGCCCAGUGCCUGGCAAUGGACAGCAGAGACUUUAAAAAGGCAGAGACAGGAUAUUGGAAUUGUCCUUUGUGCAAGUAAUACUUGAAAUGUGCUCAAUGAUGAUGAUUAGUAAAACAUGUGUCCUGUG
Molecule: RNA transcript, 3897 nt
Organism: Gymnodraco acuticeps
Lineage: Eukaryota; Metazoa; Chordata; Actinopteri; Perciformes; Bathydraconidae
Gene name: histone-lysine N-methyltransferase ATX3-like
Exons: 9
Source: RefSeq, a predicted model, not a curated record